Molecule: long non-coding RNA, 930 nt
Filed under: Malus domestica (apple)
Lineage: Eukaryota; Viridiplantae; Streptophyta; Magnoliopsida; Rosales; Rosaceae
Description: long non-coding RNA (MDOM_LNC004555)
Source: RNAcentral
UAAAUCAUAUAUGAAAAUUUAACCAUUGAUUAUUAUUUACAUUUACGCUUCAUUGUUCUCAUCAAAUUUUGUUUUUUCAGAUUUUGUUUUUUAAAAACUUGAUCUAUUAGAGGAUGUAGGAAGAUGAAUGGUUUGGAUUGUUGAUAUUAUAUUCAGAGUUUUACGGUUAGUGAAAACAUUGCUUAAUGUUUAUAAAGUUUCUACAAACUAUAUGACAUCGACUCAUAUUUCUGUUAACCGUAAAUAUCGAAACGUGAUAUAAAAAAUCUGAACCGUUCAUCUACUUACAUCCACCAGAUGAUCAUGUUUUCAGAAAAGAAAUUUUUUAAAAUGAAAUUCAGUAAGAAGAAUAAAGCAUAAAUGACAAUCGACGGUUAAGUGUUGGAUUUUGAAGUUGACCCCUUCAUGAAAGUUGUAAAGCUUGUCACUAUGAGUGAUUGUAUUUUUUAUUUUUUUACAUUUUUUACACUUCUACAAUAAUUAUUAUUAAUUUUAAUAAUUUUGCCCUCAAAUAAAAAACAUUAUUCAUGAUGGUUUGGAGGAUUUUAAAAAUCUAAACAAUAAUGUAAGUGUAACCAUUAUCUAAUUGUGGAGGAAUAAUGAUGAAUCACGAGUAUUUAUAUAUUCUUUCACAUUUUUUGUGACAGCCCGUCCCAAAUUUUACGUUUUUAUUAAUUUUAUAAGUGUGAAUUUACGAAAAUGCCCUAGAGGCAAGGACUUUGACUUUCGCGGAUCUUUGGUUAGAGUGACAUAUGACUUAUUCUUUUAGCAUAUUCUCGUGGUACUCAUCACUAUGAACGCAUAGGCGAAAGCCGUUUGCGAGUCUGAAUUAUAACGGUAUAGUUACGGACAUUUGAAGUUGGUUAUUUAAAGGUAGUUAAAUUAUUUGAACCCCCACCUAGUGGGAAGACUAACCAAUCAGCCUUUAAG